GCUCCCGUAGUUUAAUGGAUAAAGCUAUGGUUUCCGGUACCAUCGAUGCGGGUUCGACUCCCGCCGGGAGUA
RNAcentral lists this transfer RNA (72 nucleotides) under Coraliomargarita sp. CAG:312. It matches the Rfam family "tRNA". From Rfam's summary of the family: Transfer RNA (tRNA) molecules are approximately 80 nucleotides in length. Their secondary structure includes four short double-helical elements and three loops (D, anti-codon, and T loops). The record is from Rfam by way of RNAcentral. Lineage: Bacteria; Pseudomonadati; Verrucomicrobiota; Opitutia; Puniceicoccales; Coraliomargaritaceae. RNAcentral also lists the same sequence under 1 other name.